This is a non-coding RNA of Gossypium arboreum, 144 nucleotides long. Lineage: Eukaryota; Viridiplantae; Streptophyta; Magnoliopsida; Malvales; Malvaceae. The record is from Rfam.
UAUUAAAAGUUUCAUCCAAUUGUAUUGUUAGAAACUGUUGCGGCUAAUGGAAUAACUGGAAAUGAUGUAUGGCAUGUCACGUGUACCUCAUGUUGACGUGCGAAGAUCAAUUUUUAACGGUAGAAAUAAAUGAAAUUUUUAACA